AAAUUGAAGAGUUUGAUCAUGGCUCAGAUUGAACGCUGGCGGCAGGCCUAACACAUGCAAGUCGAACGGUAACAGGAAACAGCUUGCUGUUUCGCUGACGAGUGGCGGACGGGUGAGUAAUGUCUGGGAAACUGCCUGAUGGAGGGGGAUAACUACUGGAAACGGUAGCUAAUACCGCAUAACGUCGCAAGACCAAAGAGGGGGACCCUCGGGCCUCUUGCCAUCGGAUGUGCCCAGAUGGGAUUAGCUAGUAGGUGGGGUAACGGCUCACC
Molecule: ribosomal RNA, 272 nt
Filed under: Escherichia coli
Lineage: Bacteria; Pseudomonadati; Pseudomonadota; Gammaproteobacteria; Enterobacterales; Enterobacteriaceae
Description: partial 16S ribosomal RNA
Rfam family: Bacterial small subunit ribosomal RNA
Source: RNAcentral